ACAAUGGAGAGUUUGAUCCUGGCUCAGGAUGAACGCUAGCGGCAGGCCUAAUACAUGCAAGUCGAACGGGAUUGCGGUGUAGCUUGCUACACUGCAUGAGAGUGGCGCACGGGUGCGUAACGCGUGAGCAACCUACCCAUAUCAGGGGGAUAGCCCGGAGAAAUCCGGAUUAACACCGCAUGGGACAGUAUUACCGCAUGGUACAGCUGUUAAAUAUUUAUAGGAUAUGGAUGGGCUCGCGUGACAUUAGCUAGUUGGUGGGGUAACGGCCCACCAAGGCGACGAUGUCUAGGGGCUCUGAGAGGAGAAUCCCCCACACUGGUACUGAGACACGGACCAGACUCCUACGGGAGGCAGCAGUAAGGAAUAUUGGUCAAUGGGCGGAAGCCUGAACCAGCCAUGCCGCGUGCAGGAUGACUGCCCUAUGGGUUGUAAACUGCUUUUGUCCAGGAAUAAACCUCUUUACGAGUAGAGAGCUGAAUGUACUGGAAGAAUAAGGAUCGGCUAACUCCGUGCCAGCAGCCGCGGUAAUACGGAGGAUCCGAGCGUUAUCCGGAUUUAUUGGGUUUAAAGGGUGCGUAGGCGGCACUUUAAGUCAGGAGUGAAAGACGGCAGCUCAACUGUCGCAGUGCUCUUGAUACUGAAGUGCUUGAAUGCCGUUGAAGAUGGCGGAAUGAGACAAGUAGCGGUGAAAUGCAUAGAUAUGUCUCAGAACUCCGAUUGCGAAGGCAGCUAUCUAAGCGGUGAUUGACGCUGAUGGACGAAAGCGUGGGGAUCGAACAGGAUUAGAUACCCUGGUAGUCCACGCCCUAAACGAUGAUGACUCGAUGUUAGCGAUAUACUGUUGUUAGCGUCUUAGCGAAAGCGUUAAGUUAUCCACCUGGGGAGUACGCCCGCAAGGGUGAAACUCAAAGGAAUUGACGGGGGCCCGCACAAGCGGAGGAGCAUGUGGUUUAAUUCGAUGAUACGCGAGGAACCUUACCCGGGCUUGAAAGUUAGUGACGGAUGCAGAGACGCAUCCUUCCUUCGGGACACGAAACUAGGUGCUGCAUGGCUGUCGUCAGCUCGUGCCGUGAGGUGUUGGGUUAAGUCCCGCAACGAGCGCAACCCCUAUGUCCAGUUGCCAGCAUGUCAUGAUGGGGACUCUGGACAGACUGCCUGUGCAAACAGUGAGGAAGGCGGGGACGACGUCAAGUCAUCAUGGCCCUUACGUCCGGGGCUACACACGUGCU
Non-coding RNA from Triticum urartu, 1232 nucleotides. The record is from Rfam. Lineage: Eukaryota; Viridiplantae; Streptophyta; Magnoliopsida; Poales; Poaceae.